RNAcentral lists this ribosomal RNA (253 nucleotides) under uncultured bacterium. Its description in RNAcentral is "partial 16S ribosomal RNA". It matches the Rfam family "Bacterial small subunit ribosomal RNA", at positions 524 to 776 of the family's 1533-position model. The record is from RNAcentral.
UACGAAGGGUGCAAGCGUUACUCGGAAUUACUGGGCGUAAAGCGUGCGUAGGUGGUUGUUUAAGUCUGCUGUGAAAGCCCUGGGCUCAACCUGGGAAUUGCAGUGGAUACUGGGCGGCUAGAGUGUGGUAGGGGACAGUGGAAUUUCCGGUGUAGCGGUGAAAUGCGUAGAGAUGGGAAGGAACACCCGUGGCGAAGGCGACUGUCUGGGCCAAAACUGACACUGAGGCGCGAAAGCGUGGGGAGCAAACAGG